Molecule: non-coding RNA, 1397 nt
Organism: Drosophila melanogaster (fruit fly)
Lineage: Eukaryota; Metazoa; Arthropoda; Insecta; Diptera; Drosophilidae
Source: Ensembl
UGUACGCGGACGUGUCGCGUCGGUGGCUUUAUUGCCUGGCGCGAUGCUGUAUAUAAAAAUGCAUAUCCCUUGGAAUGGAUUUUACAACUUUAAAAAAGAAAAAGGAGGUAACACGGUUAUCAGGCGUUGGGGCGUGAGCCAAAUCGCUGUGUCCGCCGGAGAUUAAACAGGAAUACUAAAUAUUUACCAAAUGCGAUCAGUCAAGGUUAAAACGUGACACAUGCGUGAUGUACAUGGGCCUAUAAAUUAAUACUAAAUUCCCUAAGCGCCUGCCCAUGUCGAGCAUGAAUUUCACCAAUGCUGGCAUCCAUUUCGCAGUAAUUUGAUUUCUAGAAUCGAAUUUACGAAAAUGUCCAACCAAGUGUGCUGGCAUGGCCAUAUCCGAUCGGCAAUGACUAGCAGGCAAAUCAAGUUAAAGUUCAGCACAAUAAAUAAAUACAUAGAAACAGCCGAAAAGCGAGUCAGAUGUGUACGCCAUUUUAUUGGAUUUAAUGCACAUUAAUGGGCGCACAAUGGCAAUGAUAUCAUCGCUGGAAUUGUGCGCCAAUUACUCGAUUGCACUUGCACAAAGGCUAUCAUUUCCAGCGAAAUAUGUUGUAAGCAAUUACUUACGUCUGCUGCAGGGUCGAAUGUAGGAGAUAUCCACCCGGGCCCAUUUAUGCCCAGACGAAAGCCCAGAAAUCAACUUGGCCCUUGGGGGAGUUGCGAUGAUGCCAAGAACCAUGAAAUGGGAAUGAAAAGCUUGAAUAUGCAUUAUUCCUUCGGCUGGCCGGCUAUCAACUGGCAAUCAGAAGUUGGCCGAGUGGAAAAAUCAAAUGUAUUUCUCUGUUCGAAUGUGUGAAGAGGCCGGGGGGAAUGAAAAGCGAUUGUGGUUACAAGGAAAAGCGUCUGAAAAGUUGGCCAUCCAUAAGCUAAAGUUCGUAAAGAGUUAAGCUGCACAUCUUAUCGUCCGAACUUGUUUCUGUAUUUAUUUUAAUAUCGGCUUUCGUUUGUUGAAGUCGAUUAAACUAUAUGCAACGAUAUAUAGGUUAAAUUUGGAUGAUCCGGGGAGAGCGUCGUGUGAUUUCUCGAAUAGGAAGUUCCACGAGCAUUGCCCAUCCAAACAUCGAAUCCCGCAUCCGCCAGUAAAUAUGGCAGACCAUCAUUGGGUCCUUGCAAAAUCCAGGCAUCCGAACAGCUCGUCAAUCCGUGUUGAAGAAGGACAAUGGGUCGCUUUUCGUUCUGGUUCUGCAACUUGUGGGAGUAGGGGAUUCGGAAAACUCCCAGGAUGUAACCAUCUUCGGUAACUAUGUGAUGGUGCUCCGAAGGAUAUCCGUGAGCGGCAGUGCGGUCAGCCUAAGGUCGGCAAAUAUAAUUAAAUACUAAUUAAAUUUCAUUAAAUUCUAAUUUAAAUCAAA